GGAUGCGAUCAUACCAGCACUAAUGCACCGGAUCCCAUCAGAACUCCGAAGUUAAGCGUGCUUGGGCGAGAGUAGUACUAGGAUGGGUGACCCCUCCUCGUGUUGCAUCCC
This 111-nucleotide ribosomal RNA is filed under the name Ipomoea nil (Japanese morning glory). The record is from RNAcentral. Lineage: Eukaryota; Viridiplantae; Streptophyta; Magnoliopsida; Solanales; Convolvulaceae.